Molecule: long non-coding RNA, 1865 nt
Organism: Acanthochromis polyacanthus (spiny chromis)
Lineage: Eukaryota; Metazoa; Chordata; Actinopteri; Pomacentridae
Exons: 6
Source: RefSeq, a predicted model, not a curated record
UUGGAGGAGAAGCUAGAGGCGUAGAGGUUUGCCCUGGAAAGGAGAGGAAUGAAAGUUAGCCGCAGCAAGACGGAGUAUCUGUGUGUGAAUGAGAGGGACCCAAGUGGAAGAGUGAGGUUACAGGGAGAAGAGAUCAAGAAGGUGGAGGAUUUUAAGUACUUAGGGUCAACAGUACAGAGCAAUGGAGAGUGUGGAAAAGAGGUGAAGAAGCGUGUACAGCAGUGAUCAUCAACUGGCGGCCCGCGGGCCGAAUACGGCCCGCCGAACCGUCCAAUCCGGCCCGCGACUGGAUUCCAAAAUUGUGAGGAUCGAAGACAAAAUAUCAUGUGGUCCACACUAUUAAAGCAGUCAGUCCAGUCAUUAUUAAAGGAUCUGUUUUCCACAUCAACUUUUCGUUUCGUGGCCUUAGAGAGUGCCAUUUUACCCGUGUUAAGAGGCCUUUUCCUGUCACUUCUGCGGUGUUUCUUUUUCAAGUGCUCUGUGAAUAAAGUUGACUUGAGAUGAGGCAAAAUAUCUCUAUCACUCCUAGUGGUUGACUGUGGUGCAGGUGAUAGGAGCACUGACUCAUAAAGGCUAAAAAUGCCUUCAGUUUUGUAAUGAAAUGGAAAAAAUAUAAAAAAUAAACAUCAAAUAAUAAUGUUAUGCCAAAAUUCGAUUUUUAUUUAAUUUUUGUUUGAGGGUCCGGCCCCCAAAGUGACUGUCCGGUAAAAUUCUGGCCCUCUGGCAAAUAUAGUUGGUGACCCCUGGUGGUGGAACGGCUGGAGAAAAGUGUCAGGUGUGAUGUGUGAUAGAAGAGUUUCAGCUAAAAUGAAAGGAAAGGUUUACAAAACUAUUAAUUCAAAUGGAUUGGAUAGUAUAGUUCAAUUAUCUAUCUCUGUUACAGAGAAUAGAGCACGUGUUUGCUGCAAACAGCCACGUCAUUGCCACAUGGUUUCCACCAUCAUCCACAAACCCCAUGGAUCACCUGCCGGACAAUGCAGCCAGUCUCCAGUGGGUUCUGCUUCCAGUAUUUGUACCUGGACACUGAAUACUCUAUGCACAUUGCUCACAGCCUAUCUCCUGGCCCUUGGAGGCAGCUUGGUGUGAAUGAUGUUCAGGAAAACAUGCUGCAGAUUUGAAGAUGGUGGUGUCUUGUUCUCCUGCAGAACUUCCCCAUGCCAUCUGAAGAAGAGAGAUUGCAGCAAAGAAAAAGGCAACGAGAGCAGAAAAAACUACAGGAUGUGGCUGAAGUCCCCCUGAAAAAGUUUGGGCUUUGGGAAUCUGCCCCUGAAGCAUCAGGUAUUGUUCCAGCCUGCAUUGUCUCACACAUAUCCAUUGAGGUUGUUGAGGUUUGAUGUCACAGAGCAGUCAUUAUUUCUCUGUGUACUUAAAAUCAACCACUUAAAUCUUGCGUUUUCAUUGUGCCUGUAGACACCACAAUCUGUUUCCUUUCUAGAUGAGGCUGAGAACAGGACUGGGAACAGGAAACGGGGUAUAUUGCCUGAGAUGGGUAGUCUCAUUUCAGUGUUUUCUGCAAUCUCCGAGCCUUUACUUAAAUAACUGUUUUCUUUAUUUUUGUUUAGGAGAAUCCUUUGGUCAGGGAUGCAAUGGCAGCAGCCCGGUGGUGUGGGACCAGACCUUUCAAGGGAAAAAUUUCCCUUCCCCAAGUUGUCACCAUGGCCAAGGAGCAACGCGUGAGGGCAGUGGAACUCCUGUGUGACUGUGAUGGCCAGGAAGAAGAGGAGACCGCUGAUCUCAGAGAACCGUUCCUUUUUCUUUUUAGUCUGCAGGAAGACUGAGACAUUCUGUCAAGAAAUCAUUGACAGGAGAAACAUGAAGGUGUUUUGUGCUUUUGACAGAAAAGAAUAAAGUUGUGUUCAACGGUG